GCGGUAAUUCCAGCUCCAAUAGCGUAUGCUAAAGCUGCUGCGGUUAAAAAGCUCGUAGUUGGAUCUCAGUUGCGGGCGGGUGGUGCAUCUACCCGAUGUGACAGCCCGAUCUGAACAUCUUGCCUUCUAUCCUCUGGUGUCCUUCACUGGAUGCCUUUGGGUGGUCGGUGCAUUUACUUUGAAAAAAUUGGAGUGCUCAACGCAGGCGAAGUGCCUGAACACUUAUGCAUGGAAUAAUAGAACAAGACCCCGUUUCUGUUCUGUUGGUUUUUGGAAAACGAGGUAAUGAUCAAGAGGGACUGACGGGGGCAUUCGUAUUGCGGCGCUAGAGGUGAAAUUCUUGGACCGUCGCAAGACGAACUACAGCGAAAGCAUUUGCCAAGAAUGUUUUCAUUGAUCAAGAACGAAAGUUAGAGGUUCGAAGGCGAUCAGAUACCGCCCUAGUUCUAACCAUAAACGAUGCCAACCAGCAAUCCGCCUGAGUUACUCCAAUGACUCUGCGGGCAGCUUCCGGGAAACCAAAG
Molecule: ribosomal RNA, 524 nt
Filed under: Alectorobius capensis
Lineage: Eukaryota; Metazoa; Arthropoda; Arachnida; Ixodida; Argasidae
Description: SSU rRNA
Rfam family: Eukaryotic small subunit ribosomal RNA
Source: RNAcentral